UCUCCUGGAAACGGGUGGUAAUGCCGGAUGCUCCGACAUGACGCAUGUCGUGUCGGGAAAGAUUCUAUCGGUAUGGGAUGGGGUCGCGUCCUAUCAGCUUGAUGGCGGGGUAACGGCCCACCAUGGCUUCGACGGGUAGCCGGCCUGAGAGGGCGACCGGCCACAUUGGGACUGAGAUACGGCCCAGACUCCUACGGGAGGCAGCAGUGGGGAAUAUUGCACAAUGGGCGCAAGCCUGAUGCAGCGACGCCGCGUGCGGGAUGACGGCCUUCGGGUUGUAAACCGCUUUUGACUGGGAGCAAGCCCUUCGGGGUGAGUGUACCUUUCGAAUAAGCACCGGCUAACUACGUGCCAGCAGCCGCGGUAAUACGUAGGGUGCAAGCGUUAUCCGGAAUUAUUGGGCGUAAAGGGCUCGUAGGCGGUUCGUCGCGUCCGGUGUGAAAGUCCAUCGCUUAACGGUGGAUCCGCGCCGGGUACGGGCGGGCUUGAGUGCGGUAGGGGAGACUGGAAUUCCCGGUGUAACGGUGGAAUGUGUAGAUAUCGGAAAGAACACCAAC
RNAcentral lists this ribosomal RNA (557 nucleotides) under Bifidobacterium adolescentis. RNAcentral's name for it is "bacterial SSU rRNA". It matches the Rfam family "Bacterial small subunit ribosomal RNA", at positions 146 to 713 of the family's 1533-position model. The record is from RNAcentral. Lineage: Bacteria; Bacillati; Actinomycetota; Actinomycetes; Bifidobacteriales; Bifidobacteriaceae.